This 403-nucleotide ribosomal RNA is filed under the name uncultured bacterium. RNAcentral describes it as "partial 16S ribosomal RNA". It matches the Rfam family "Bacterial small subunit ribosomal RNA", at positions 28 to 526 of the family's 1533-position model. The record is from RNAcentral.
GACGAACGCUGGCGGCGUGCCUAAUACAUGCAAGUCGAACGCAGUGGGGACGGGUGAGUAACACGUGGGUAACCUCCCAUAAGACGGGGUAACCCGUGGAAAAAGGUGCUAAACCGCUACUGAUGUAGGAACCCGCGGGGCAUAAGGUAGUUGGUGGGGUAACGGCUCACCAAGGCGACGAUGCAUAGCCGGCCUGAGAGGUUGAUCGGCCACACUGGAACUGAGACACGGCCCAGACUCCUACGGGAGGCAGCAGUAGGGAAUCUUCGGCAAUGGGCGAAAGCCUGACCGAGCAACGCCGCGUGUGUGAAGAAGGUCUUCGGAUCGUAAAACUCUGUUGUUAGAGAAGCGGUAUCUAACCAGAAAGCCACGGCUAACUACGUGCCAGCAGCCGCGGUAAUAC